RNAcentral lists this transfer RNA (71 nucleotides) under Thyrsites atun (snoek). RNAcentral's name for it is "tRNA-Glu". It matches the Rfam family "tRNA". Rfam says of the family: Transfer RNA (tRNA) molecules are approximately 80 nucleotides in length. Their secondary structure includes four short double-helical elements and three loops (D, anti-codon, and T loops). The record is from RNAcentral. Lineage: Eukaryota; Metazoa; Chordata; Actinopteri; Scombriformes; Gempylidae.
GUUCUUGUAGUAAAAUGUAAUAACGACUGCUUUUCAAGCUGUAAAUCCUGGCUAGAGUCCGGGCAAGAAUU